Small nucleolar RNA from Acomys russatus (golden spiny mouse), 126 nucleotides. RefSeq annotates it as small nucleolar RNA SNORA17. The transcript has a single exon. The record is from RefSeq and is a predicted model, not a curated record. Lineage: Eukaryota; Metazoa; Chordata; Mammalia; Rodentia; Muridae.
CCUGCCCCUAGACCUGUUGCAGGUGUGGCUACUGUGUCACAUGUCCCUCUGUAAGUGGCAGAGCAGAGAGAGGCUAUUUUCAGUGUUCUGACCUAUGCACAUCUGAAUAGUUAGUAGCCUAGCAUU